This 330-nucleotide ribosomal RNA is filed under the name uncultured bacterium. Its description in RNAcentral is "bacterial SSU rRNA". It matches the Rfam family "Bacterial small subunit ribosomal RNA", at positions 568 to 898 of the family's 1533-position model. The record is from RNAcentral.
UGUGUAGGCGGUCCUCUAAGUUUGGUGUGAAAUCUCCCGGCUCAACCGGGAGGGUGCGCCGAAAACUGGAGGGCUAGAGUGCGGGAAGGGAGAGUAGAAUUCCUGGUGUAGCGGUGAAAUGCGUAGAUAUCAGGAGGAAUACCGGUGGUGCAGACGGCUCUCUGGACCGUAACUGACGCUGAGACACGAAAGCGUGGGUAGCAAACAGGAUUAGAUACCCUGGUAGUCCACGCCCUAAACGAUGCAUAUUUGGUGUAGGUCAUUCAGUUGAUCUGUGCCGGAGCUAACGCGUUAAAUAUGCCGCCUGGGGAGUACAGUCGCAAGGCUGAA